AUAAUCCUUGUAUGUAUUUGGUUGCUAAUACCUACUAUAUAUGCAAGUAUUUGUUAGGAUUUGGUUAGAUUUAUAGUUUAUUUUCUAGUUAGAUAAGAAUUAGAUAAGAAUUAAUAUUUAAAUCUGUUGAAGAUAAAUUAAAAUUUAAAUAUUAAUUAGAGUAUGAAUCUAACUAGAUUAGGAUAAAUAUUUAAAUCUAUUAGAGAUAAAUUAAUUAAGAUUUAAAUAUUUAUUGUAGUAGGAAUCCUAAAUACAUUAGGAUUGGGGUACGUUUUGGUGGAGGUAUAUAAAUAGUUUUUGAUGGGAUGCUUUUGGUUGAGAGAGUACGGUGAGAGAGUGUGCCAUCUUGGGUGAAAUCGUACUAAGAGAGAAAAUCAUAGUUGAGUGCACGAGUACACGUGGACAGUUGUUUUCUUUCUGGGUUUAUAGAAGACAAGAGAAGAGUAAAAGAGAUUCAAAAAGAGGGCUCGAGUUAUAGCUACUUUGUUACAGAAAAGUAGUCAGGUGUAAUAUUAUAAUAUACUGAACUUUUACGAUGGUAAAGUCUUGGUGGGAACUAGCUUAAAAUGCUAUUAAAAUAGUUCCGGCAAAGUUCGGGAAACAUUCGAGUGUUUUGGUGCAAAUUGGGCACGAAAACGGAUUUGUGAAGCCGUAUUAGACUUUGGCUAGAUUCGGCAAAGUACAAUUGAGAAGAAGGUUUAAACGUGCUCAAAAAUAAGAUUUGAGGGUUUUGGAAUGGUUAGAAGUGGAUUGGAGCUUUAAGGAGUGAGAACUUGCAUUUUUUGAAAAAUGCAGUUUUUGGAGCUGAUGGACCUUCGAGAUCCGGAUCCCGCGUGCGUGCUGGCUGCCUUGAAUGUGGGCAUUUUGGUAAUUUUGAAGGGGGGCUUUAUAUAGGACCUCUCCUCUUUCUCCUCCCUGUUGGAAAACACACACACACACACACACACACACACACACACACGCUGUCACGCCCUGAACCCGGUCCUAUUUGGCCAGUUCGGAUACAUCGAACAGAUGCCGAACGGACGACACCUUCCCCAUCCGCCCAAGGCUCAGCAACAAGUACAAAUAGAGUACAAAAUUUGCACAUGCGGAAGCAAACACAAUGGCUUGCACGAGGGCAAGUAGUAGCCAAAGUGAAAGUACUGUCUAAUUAACAUACAAGUAAUAUGAUUAAAUUUAAAUCACAUACAUGCAUUCAACUUUAAUAAACUUCCAUUACAUUCUUUGUAUCAUUUCUUUUGUACAUCACAUAUUCCUCAAAAUAUAACAAUUUGCAAUUAACUAUAAAAUUCUUUUAUAUCGUUCAUUUAAACAUGUUCAUAAUACUAAAAUCAUCAAAAUACAAAAGAUAAUAACUAAAGGGUAUGCAACUAAACCAAAAUGUGAAACCAACUCG
This 1399-nucleotide long non-coding RNA is filed under the name Ananas comosus (pineapple). RNAcentral describes it as "long non-coding RNA (ACOM_LNC019735)". Lineage: Eukaryota; Viridiplantae; Streptophyta; Magnoliopsida; Poales; Bromeliaceae. The record is from RNAcentral.